AGUCGAGCGGUAGAGAGAAGCUUGCUUCUCUUGAGAGCGGCGGACGGGUGAGUAAUGCCUAGGAAUCUGCCUGGUAGUGGGGGAUAACGUUCGGAAACGAACGCUAAUACCGCAUACGUCCUACGGGAGAAAGCAGGGGACCUUCGGGCCUUGCGCUAUCAGAUGAGCCUAGGUCGGAUUAGCUAGUUGGUGAGGUAAUGGCUCACCAAGGCGACGAUCCGUAACUGGUCUGAGAGGAUGAUCAGUCACACUGGAACUGAGACACGGUCCAGACUCCUACGGGAGGCAGCAGUGGGGAAUAUUGGACAAUGGGCGAAAGCCUGAUCCAGCCAUGCCGCGUGUGUGAAGAAGGUCUUCGGAUUGUAAAGCACUUUAAGUUGGGAGGAAGGGCAGUUACCUAAUACGUGAUUGUUUUGACGUUACCGACAGAAUAAGCACCGGCUAACUCUGUGCCAGCAGCCGCGGUAAUAC
RNAcentral lists this ribosomal RNA (471 nucleotides) under Pseudomonas sp. RNAcentral describes it as "bacterial SSU rRNA". It matches the Rfam family "Bacterial small subunit ribosomal RNA", at positions 60 to 526 of the family's 1533-position model. Lineage: Bacteria; Pseudomonadati; Pseudomonadota; Gammaproteobacteria; Pseudomonadales; Pseudomonadaceae. The record is from RNAcentral.